AUAAGCAGUAAUCACAAUGAUUCAGUCUCACAUCAGGAUAACACUCACAAUAUACACAAUCACACAUACAGUACUGACAAGCAGUUCAAGAUCGACAUUACAUAGCAAUACACAANNNNNNNNNNAACACCAUUGGUGUUUCGUGGAGAAGUAUAGAAGCCAAACAAGUAGAGACCUAUCAAAUACAUGCAUCCCAAAGGAAGAAAAUGAGCCCUGCUAAUCAGUCUGCAGCUGAAACCUUGAAAUAACAAUUGAAGAUGCAGCCGGUUUAAUGAUUAUUUUAGGCAAUAAGAACGCUCUUCAAUUUAUCACAGUUGAUAAUCUUAGUUGCCCUUAAAGAAGGGCAACUCAAUGGAUUCUCCUUCCAAAUGCUUGUUAGUUUUGGCAGGUCCUGAAGCACCAAUUCUGUCAAACUAGGUAGCUCUAAAGGUUCCGACCCAUUAUUCUCAGAUUCCACAAUUAUCUGCUCAAUUUCAGGACAAUCUUCAAUUUGCAAGUGUUGAAGUUUAGAAAGCAUGGCAGGGGAGAAUAUCUUCGUCAGCUUUGAACAUUCAGAUAAACAAAGAACAGUAAGCUGUGCUAGGCUUCCAUCUGGUACAUGGCCCUCCCAAAUACUUUCCAACAUUGGGACAUUGCUAAUGUAAAUCCUCUCCAAGCGAGUUAGCACACUUUCCAUGGUUCCACGAGCAUCAAUAACUGUUAGAAUCUCAUUGCACCCUUCAAUUAUGCAGCACUUCAA
RNAcentral lists this unclassified non-coding RNA (739 nucleotides) under Hevea brasiliensis (rubber tree). Lineage: Eukaryota; Viridiplantae; Streptophyta; Magnoliopsida; Malpighiales; Euphorbiaceae. The record is from RNAcentral.